Molecule: ribosomal RNA, 496 nt
Filed under: uncultured bacterium
Lineage: Bacteria
Description: partial 16S ribosomal RNA
Rfam family: Bacterial small subunit ribosomal RNA
Source: RNAcentral
GAUGAACGCUGGCGGCGUGCCUAAUACAUGCCAGUCGAGCGAACAGACGAGGAGCUUGCUCCUCUGACGUUAGCGGCGGACGGGUGAGUAACACGUGGAUAACCUACCUAUAAGACUGGGAUAACUUCGGGAAACCGGAGCUAAUACCGGAUAAUAUAUUGAACCGCAUGGUUCAAUAGUGAAAGACGGUUUUGCUGUCACUUAUAGAUGGUUCCGCGCCGCAUUAGCUAGUUGGUAAGGUAACGGCUUACCAAGGCAACGAUGCGUAGCCGACCUGAGAGGGUGAUCGGCCACACUGGAACUGGGACACGGUCCAGACUCCUACGGGAGGCAGCAGUAGGAAAUCUUCCGCAAUGGGCGAAAGCUUGACGGAGCAACGCCGCGUGAGUGAUGAAGGUCUUCGGAUCGUAAAACUCUGUUAUUAGGGAAGAACAAAUGUGUAAGUAACUAUGCACGUCUUGACGGUACCUAAGCAGAAAGCCACGGCUAACUACGU